This is an RNA transcript of Cephus cinctus (wheat stem sawfly), 1971 nucleotides long. It is a transcript of the gene named 2-acylglycerol O-acyltransferase 1, with no coding region annotated. The transcript is spliced from 7 exons. The record is from RefSeq and is a predicted model, not a curated record. NCBI's taxonomy places the organism in Eukaryota, Metazoa, Arthropoda, Insecta, Hymenoptera, Cephidae.
GCCUGUUUCAGAGUAUAAUAAACGACUAUACGCACGACGCCCAUCGAGCUCUCGACGUCCGAGCACGAACGCACGUAAAUUCGUACUGUCGUUUUUGUUGAUACUCAAGAAUUUUACUACGAACAGUGAAGAACGCUGACUGCUACGCCCUCCUCGUACUGUAUUGGCCUUGUACGCAGUACGUACAACUACGGAUAGAGUCUCGAUGGAAAUGGACUUUGUCAAGGACUUGUCAUCAGGAAGAUCGAGGAGUUUUCACUUUCGGACUGUUUCGCGACUAGACAGAUCGUGCUGGACGAGUGGAGUCUCACGGAAAUUCAAAGAUAAGUCGAGACCGGUCGGCACGUACGUUAGAAUACUCUCGAGACAGUCGUUGUAAUUCGUUAUAAUUCGUUCGAAUUACUCGGGCACCAUGAUAGAAGACAUGAAGGCAAAGAUGCAGCUACUGGGAGUGAAAUUCGCACCGUUGAAUAUUCCCCUCGAAAGAAGACUUCAAACUCUGGCAGCUGCCGCUUGGAUCAUCAUUCCGAUUCUGGGAAGCAUCACCGGCCUUGUCGUCACUAUUUAUCUACUUUUAUUCACACAAAAAAUACGAUACUUCGUUCUAAUCUAUCUGAUAUGGAUAUACUAUGAUAGGGACACUUGCAACAGAGGCGGUAGAGGCGAGAAAUAUACUACGUGGAUGAGAAAUUGCGCCUGGUGGCGAUACUUCUGCGCCUAUUUUCCCCUGAAACUCGUCAAGACCGCCGAUCUGGAUCCUUCGAGAAAUUAUUUAUUUUGUUCUUUCCCUCAUGGAAUUCUAUCAACUGGAGCUUUCGGCGCGUUCGCCACGGAUUGUCUUGGCUUCAAGGAUCUCUUUCCAGGACUGGAACCCAGGAUGCUCACGCUUGACCAACACUUCAAAAUUCCAUUUUUUCGAGAAUUCGUAUAUAGUUUCGGCGCUUGCAGCGCCAGUGCCGAAAGCAUCGACUAUCUAACCGGCGCACCAGGAACCGGCAGAGCCGCAGUACUUGUUGUAGGUGGCGCUUCCGAGUCGCUCAGAUGCAAACCUGGAACUUAUCGCAUCAUUCUGACGCGAAGGAAAGGAUUCGUUCGUAUUGCUCUCAAGAAUGGGACUCCACUGGUUCCUGUCUUUUCCUUCGGGGAAACGGAUCUGUACGACCAAUUUGAUAGUCCUGAAGGAUCCUGGCUGAGAAAAGUUCAGGAAAGUUUAAAAAAGCUUACUGGAGUCGCACCGGUCUUGCUGAUUGGUCGAGGUCUGUUUCAAUAUUCCUUUGGAGUAGUGCCUCUAAGAAAACCUGUCACUGUAGUCGUGGGAUCGCCGAUAGAGCUACCCAAAAUUUCGGAACCCACCAAGGAACAGGUCAACGAGUAUCACGCCAAGUUCGCGGAAAAUUUAAUAAAGUUGUUUGAAGAGUACAAAUACAAGUAUCUGGAAAAUCCCGAGAAAGUUUCUCUCGUUAUCGAAUGAUCGUUUAAAGGCCAAGGAAUUAAUGCUUCAUGAGUAUUUUCCUAAGAAGCUACUGGCUCACGAAUUGUAAAUAUAGAACGAGCGAAUCACGGAGUCGUUAAUUGAAAAUUGUUUUUCUGAAUAAGUUUUCCUUUAUGAAAACCAUUUUUUUGUAAAAACAGAAACAAUUGCAAGGAGACCUGCGCCAGUCAACCAGAGACUUUGACCGAUGAUCUGUAAAAUUAUGUAAAAGUUUACAAGGUUCAUAAUGAAAAAAAAAGAGGACUUUAUUUUUGUAAAAGCUGCUACGGUAUUUCUAUACCUUGUCCUGCCAGGCUCUGUUCUCUAUGCAGUCUCGGAAUGUCAUUCUGGAGAAAUGAACAGUGCUGUACAAAGGAAGCCACGUGUUUGGAAAGAGCCAGUAGAGAACCGUGUCGAAGUACUUUCUCAAAAUGAAUGAUUUCUUCCUGACCAAAUCUCUCAUCUGUAAGGCACGUAAAAUAUAAGUGGUCGGAGAUGCA